GGGUUCCUGGCGCAACGGUAGCGCGUUCGACUCCAGAUCGAAAGGUUAUCUGUUCAAAUCAGGUGGAGCUCA
RNAcentral lists this transfer RNA (72 nucleotides) under Capronia epimyces CBS 606.96. It matches the Rfam family "tRNA". From Rfam's summary of the family: Transfer RNA (tRNA) molecules are approximately 80 nucleotides in length. Lineage: Eukaryota; Fungi; Ascomycota; Eurotiomycetes; Chaetothyriales; Herpotrichiellaceae. The record is from Rfam by way of RNAcentral.